RNAcentral lists this ribosomal RNA (253 nucleotides) under uncultured bacterium. RNAcentral describes it as "partial 16S ribosomal RNA". It matches the Rfam family "Bacterial small subunit ribosomal RNA", at positions 524 to 776 of the family's 1533-position model. The record is from RNAcentral.
UACAGAGGGUGCGAGCGUUAAUCGGAAUUACUGGGCGUAAAGCGCACGUAGUCGGCUUUGCAAGUCGGGUGUGAGAUCCCCGGGCUCAACCUGGGAACUGCAUCCGAGACUGCAUUGCUAGAGUAUGGGAGAGGGAAGCGGAAUUUCUGGUGUAGCAGUGAAAUGCGUAGAUAUCAGAAGGAACAUCAGUGGCGAAGGCGGCUUCCUGGACCAAUACUGACGAUCAGGUGCGAAAGCGUGGGGAGCAAACAGG